CGCGGUAAUACGGAGGAUGCAAGCGUUAUCCGGGAUUCAUUGGGUUUAAAGGGUGCGUAGGCGGCCAUUUAAGUCAGUGGUGAAAUCCUGCCGCUUAACGGUAGAAUUGCCAUUGAUACUGAAAGGCUUGAGUCCAGUUGAGGUAAGCGGAAUGUGUAGUGUAGCGGUGAAAUGCUUAGAUAUUACACAGAACACCAAUUGCGAAGGCAGCUUACUAAACUGGCACUGACGCUGAUGCACGAAAGCGUGGGGAGCGAACAGGAUUAGAUACCCUGGUAGUCCACGCCGUAAACGAUGUUCACUCGCUGUUUGCGAUACACAGCAAGCGGCCAAGCGAAAGCAUUAAGUGAACCACCUGGGGAGUACGAUCGCAAGGUUGAAACUCAAAGGAAUUGACGGGGGCCCGCACAAGCGGAGGAACAUGUGGUUUAAUUCGAUGAUACGCGAGGAACCUUACCUGGGCUUAAAUGUAGAACGACAGAUUGUGAAAGCAGUCCUUCUUCGGACGUUUUACAAGGUGCUGCAUGGUUGUCGUCAGCUCGUGCCGUGAGGUGUCGGGUUAAGUCCCAUAACGAGCGCAACCCUUAUCGUUAGUUGCCAGCGGGUCAAGCCGGGGACUCUAGCGAGACUGCCACCGUAAGGUGUGAGGAAGGUGGGGAUGACGUCAAAUCAGCACGGCCCUUAUGUCCAGGGCUACACACGUGUUACAAUGGCCGAUACAAAGGGCAGCUACUUCGUGAGAAGAUGCUAAUCUCCAAAGUCGGUCUCAGUUCGGAUCGAAGUCUGCAACCCGACUUCGUGAAGCUGGAUUCGCUAGUAAUCGCAUAUCAGCCAUGAUGCGGUGAAUACGUUCCCGGGCCUUGUACACACCGCCCGUCAAACAAUGGAAGCUGGGGGUACCUGAAGUC
RNAcentral lists this ribosomal RNA (908 nucleotides) under uncultured bacterium. Its description in RNAcentral is "bacterial SSU rRNA". It matches the Rfam family "Bacterial small subunit ribosomal RNA", at positions 516 to 1428 of the family's 1533-position model. The record is from RNAcentral.